This is a small nucleolar RNA of Ornithorhynchus anatinus (platypus), 138 nucleotides long. The record is from RefSeq and is a predicted model, not a curated record. NCBI's taxonomy places the organism in Eukaryota, Metazoa, Chordata, Mammalia, Monotremata, Ornithorhynchidae.
UAAGUCUCGGGGUCGCACCUGGAGAAUUCCCAGGACUCUACCAGUUUCGGCUAUGGGAGGGAGAGUCAAGCAGAGGCCUGUCCAUUCCAUUCCUAGCUUGAGCUGUAGCCAGCAAGUGGAAGACAAUCUGCUACAAGG